ACAUUAACUGAGUUUACUUUUGGAAGGAGCUGAAGCGAUAACAGAGCAGAAGAACAACGACAAAAACCUCACAUUGACUGAGGAUAUGGCUCCUAAGAAUGUUGAUGGUGAGGAAAAAGUACAAUGGCCUUCCAAACAUGAAGAGUUUUUUAUACAUAUAUUGCAUGAUCAUGUGAAGAAGGGUGACUUGCAAGCAUCAACCUUUAAAACGAAAGUUUGGUCUGAAAUAAGCGAGGAGUUGUUAGCAAAAUGUGGAAAAAAAUGCACUGUUAAGCAACUUAAGUCUAAGUUUAAUAGGUUGCGAAUUGCACAU
Prunus mume (Japanese apricot) is the source of this 313-nucleotide non-coding RNA. Lineage: Eukaryota; Viridiplantae; Streptophyta; Magnoliopsida; Rosales; Rosaceae. The record is from RefSeq and is a predicted model, not a curated record.